Non-coding RNA from Ceratocystis platani, 74 nucleotides. Lineage: Eukaryota; Fungi; Ascomycota; Sordariomycetes; Microascales; Ceratocystidaceae. The record is from Rfam.
GUGGGCUUGGUCUAGUUGGUUAUGACGGCUGCUUCACACGCAGCAGGUCCCGAGUUCGAUUCUCGGAGCCCAUA